RNAcentral lists this ribosomal RNA (1554 nucleotides) under Salmonella enterica subsp. enterica serovar Rough O:-:-. Its description in RNAcentral is "bacterial SSU rRNA". It matches the Rfam family "Bacterial small subunit ribosomal RNA". The record is from RNAcentral. Lineage: Bacteria; Pseudomonadati; Pseudomonadota; Gammaproteobacteria; Enterobacterales; Enterobacteriaceae. RNAcentral also lists the same sequence under 1 other name.
AAAUUGAAGAGUUUGAUCAUGGCUCAGAUUGAACGCUGGCGGCAGGCCUAACACAUGCAAGUCGAACGGUAACAGGAAGCAGCUUGCUGCUUUGCUGACGAGUGGCGGACGGGUGAGUAAUGUCUGGGAAACUGCCUGAUGGAGGGGGAUAACUACUGGAAACGGUGGCUAAUACCGCAUAACGUCGCAAGACCAAAGAGGGGGACCUUCGGGCCUCUUGCCAUCAGAUGUGCCCAGAUGGGAUUAGCUUGUUGGUGAGGUAACGGCUCACCAAGGCGACGAUCCCUAGCUGGUCUGAGAGGAUGACCAGCCACACUGGAACUGAGACACGGUCCAGACUCCUACGGGAGGCAGCAGUGGGGAAUAUUGCACAAUGGGCGCAAGCCUGAUGCAGCCAUGCCGCGUGUAUGAAGAAGGCCUUCGGGUUGUAAAGUACUUUCAGCGGGGAGGAAGGUGUUGUGGUUAAUAACCGCAGCAAUUGACGUUACCCGCAGAAGAAGCACCGGCUAACUCCGUGCCAGCAGCCGCGGUAAUACGGAGGGUGCAAGCGUUAAUCGGAAUUACUGGGCGUAAAGCGCACGCAGGCGGUCUGUCAAGUCGGAUGUGAAAUCCCCGGGCUCAACCUGGGAACUGCAUUCGAAACUGGCAGGCUUGAGUCUUGUAGAGGGGGGUAGAAUUCCAGGUGUAGCGGUGAAAUGCGUAGAGAUCUGGAGGAAUACCGGUGGCGAAGGCGGCCCCCUGGACAAAGACUGACGCUCAGGUGCGAAAGCGUGGGGAGCAAACAGGAUUAGAUACCCUGGUAGUCCACGCCGUAAACGAUGUCUACUUGGAGGUUGUGCCCUUGAGGCGUGGCUUCCGGAGCUAACGCGUUAAGUAGACCGCCUGGGGAGUACGGCCGCAAGGUUAAAACUCAAAUGAAUUGACGGGGGCCCGCACAAGCGGUGGAGCAUGUGGUUUAAUUCGAUGCAACGCGAAGAACCUUACCUGGUCUUGACAUCCACAGAAGAAUCCAGAGAUGGAUUGGUGCCUUCGGGAACUGUGAGACAGGUGCUGCAUGGCUGUCGUCAGCUCGUGUUGUGAAAUGUUGGGUUAAGUCCCGCAACGAGCGCAACCCUUAUCCUUUGUUGCCAGCGAUUAGGUCGGGAACUCAAAGGAGACUGCCAGUGAUAAACUGGAGGAAGGUGGGGAUGACGUCAAGUCAUCAUGGCCCUUACGACCAGGGCUACACACGUGCUACAAUGGCGCAUACAAAGAGAAGCGACCUCGCGAGAGCAAGCGGACCUCAUAAAGUGCGUCGUAGUCCGGAUUGGAGUCUGCAACUCGACUCCAUGAAGUCGGAAUCGCUAGUAAUCGUGGAUCAGAAUGCCACGGUGAAUACGUUCCCGGGCCUUGUACACACCGCCCGUCACACCAUGGGAGUGGGUUGCAAAAGAAGUAGGUAGCUUAACCUUCGGGAGGGCGCUUACCACUUUGUGAUUCAUGACUGGGGUGAAGUCGUAACAAGGUAACCGUAGGGGAACCUGCGGUUGGAUCACCUCCUUACCUUAAAGAAGC